GACGAACGCUGGCGGCGUGCUUAACACAUGCAAGUCGAACGGAAAGGCCCUGCUUGCAGGGUACUCGAGUGGCGAACGGGUGAGUAACACGUGGGUGAUCUGCCCUGCACUUCGGGAUAAGCCUGGGAAACUGGGUCUAAUACCGGAUAGGAGCCAUUCUUAGUGUGAUGGUUGGAAAGUUUUUUCGGUGUAGGAUGAGCUCGCGGCCUAUCAGCUUGUUGGUGGGGUAAUGGCCUACCAAGGCGGCGACGGGUAGCCGGCCUGAGAGGGUGGACGGCCACAUUGGGACUGAGAUACGGCCCAGGCUCCUACGGGAGGCAGCAGGGGGGAAUAUUGCACAAUGGGCGCAAGCCUGAUGCAGCGAAGCCGCGUGGGGGAUGACGGCCUUCGGGUUGUAAACUCCUUUCGCUAGGGACGAAGCUUUUUGUGACGGUACCUAGAUAAGAAGCACCGGCUAACUACGUG
RNAcentral lists this ribosomal RNA (465 nucleotides) under uncultured bacterium. RNAcentral describes it as "partial 16S ribosomal RNA". It matches the Rfam family "Bacterial small subunit ribosomal RNA", at positions 28 to 507 of the family's 1533-position model. The record is from RNAcentral.